RNAcentral lists this ribosomal RNA (491 nucleotides) under uncultured bacterium. Its description in RNAcentral is "partial 16S ribosomal RNA". It matches the Rfam family "Bacterial small subunit ribosomal RNA", at positions 28 to 507 of the family's 1533-position model. The record is from RNAcentral.
GAUGAACGCUGGCUACAGGCUUAACACAUGCAAGUCGAGGGGAAACGACGGGGAAGCUUGCUUCCCCGGGCGUCGACCGGCGCACGGGUGAGUAACGCGUAUCCAACCUGCCUCUGACUGAGGGAUAACCCGUCGAAAGUCGGCCUAAUACCUCAUGGUAUCGUCUGCGGGCAUCCAACGACGAUUAAAGAUUUCAUCGGUCAGGGAUGGGGAUGCGUCUGAUUAGCUUGUUGGCGGGGUAACGGCCCACCAAGGCUACGAUCAGUAGGGGUUCUGAGAGGCAGGUCCCCCACAUUGGAACUGCGACACGGUCCAAACUCCUACGGGAGGCAGCAGUGAGGAAUAUUGGUCAAUGGGCGAUAGCCUGACCCAGCCAAGUAGCGUGCAGGAAGACGGCCCUAUGGGUUGUAAACUGCUUUUAUGCGGGGAUAAAGUGAGGGACGUGUCCCUCAUUGCAGGUACCGCAUGAAUAAGGACCGGCUAAUUCCGUG